RNAcentral lists this ribosomal RNA (2963 nucleotides) under Triticum aestivum (bread wheat). RNAcentral describes it as "partial small subunit ribosomal RNA". The record is from RNAcentral. Lineage: Eukaryota; Viridiplantae; Streptophyta; Magnoliopsida; Poales; Poaceae.
GGUGUUGCGUCUCAGGUCUACACUAGGAGCUGCAGGCGUCGGCGUUGUGCGCCUCGCGUCCGACCAGUCGUCGGUUUCACGGUCGCGGCAGAGGCGGUGUUGGGCCUCUGCGGAGCGCGAAGGCGGGGGGAGGAGAGGGAGGGAGGGGAGGGUUAGGUUAGACGGCAGAAGAAGAAGAAGAGAAGAGGAGGGUGCGGCGCACGACGAGGAUAUAUAUUGGGGACCCGGCGGGGUGUGGAGAGCAGAGAGAGGGAGAGGGCAGGGCAGGGGAGGGGGCGCGUGGACCUCGGUAGUAGCGUGCGAAGGACAGCUCGUGUGACGGACCGACGGACAGGGGCGCGCGACUCGCAGCAGGUAUACACUUGCCGACGCAACGCCGCCAAGCCGGUCCAAACGACUACAAGUAGAUUGAUGGGCCCCUCUUAAGUCUCAACGGGCGUCUCUUUCUUUUGGUUCUUCCUCUUGGUCCCUAGCUGGCUCGAAGCUUAAGCGGACGAGGGAACCGGUAACCAGCACGAAUUCGAACCCAGUUCUAAGACCAUGACUUUGUCGUUCUACCACUUGAAACCCUUCUUCAACUACCGUCUAGUUCAUCUUCUUACCUUUCCCAUGAUAUAAUUAAUGUUUAACUACUUCUUUAACAAUUUCGUUAUGCAAGUUGUCUGGGUUUAACCACCGUUUCUAACGCUCGUUCAAGAAUUCCUCAAGAGCUCCUAAGAACUACUAGUCUAACUUUCCUAGCACGAGAAAGACGACGUUGUUGUUCCAGUGGAGAGAUCUUCCUAACUCCUUAACCCUCGUGUCGCACGACGAUAAUACGUUGUCCAACUAUGUAGUUCUCAAAAGGUUGAAGCACUCCUAAUGUCUCUACAACCUUCUCUAGAACAUUUCGAAGAGGCGAAACAACUGUACUUACGAUGGCCAGAUUCCUUCUAUGACUUCUUUAAGCUAUUCGCCAAACCGAUAUUCAAAUGUCUAAUAAUACAGUGGUGAGCAAGUUUGGUAGGAAUAAGUGUCGAAGUCGUUCAGAAAUUCGUUCACCCUUAACAUCGGCAACGUCCACGAAAUAGUGCGUUGGAACGUAUAGACCUUGUACUCGUAGCUCCUUCGAAAAAUAGGUAUAUACUAUUGGGUAGUCAACAUGACGUCCUGGGAUAGUAUCUGGUCCAUUUGGUACGGCAUGUCUUUGAGUGUGUGCGUUGCUCGAAAUACGUUAUGAACCCUGUUGUGCGUGAAUAGCAGGUUCUGCUGUGUGGGUCACCUAGUCUCCUAUUACAGCUACUACUCUCGAUGGUAAAGUACAGGGACUACGAAUUGGAUCACUUGUGUAAAGAAAUGUACCACUUGUGUAUAUAGUAACAGGGCUGGCGUCUGCUGAUGAGUCACUCGGAACCUCGACGGCGCUGUCAAACACCGUAUUAGUAACCUAGCUACCGCCAGCGCGUCCACAAGAGAAGCCAAAUAAAAUCACGGACCAGCUUAUCCAGUAUGAAGUCUGGAGAUCAUAAGUCGUCGUAAUACGAAAAGAGACCCUUGGACGACAUACGUAACCGUAUACUGGACUUGAGGGACUGUCAAGAGGACUAACCGGCAUAUGAUACGCCCAACCCAAGGCGUUCUCGACACUUGGCAGCCAUAUAGUCACUGACACACGGAGAGUUCUAGUCCGAUGUUCGGAGACGUCCCAAGCAGUCACGGUCACGAGAACCUUACCGUACACCGGGACCGGAACGACCAAAAGAAGUCUGUUUUAAAUGCUAUAUGAGCGACUGAAAAUUGGUCUCGUGUAACGGACCUACCCAGUACAGGUAACGAACCGAAGAAAUGAACCACACCGACACCAAAAGUAAGUUUCUCGGCCUUGUGAAGCGAUUCCGACGCCGGCUCCGACGUCGGUCUUGUGGCGUCGGAAGACUUAGACCGGUAGUUCUUUCACGAUUAAACCUCCUUCCAGAUCGUGUUGGAGACGAAUAUCCAAGUCUUCUCUCCGACCUACUAUUAAGCCUCCUAUUACUACUACUUCUACGAUUUUCAAGGGUACUCGGUCGUUGUAGGAAACGAAGUCGUAUAUUUAACGACUGUGGGAGACACUUCCAUGUUGAUAACUAUAUGAAAUACGAGUUCAUACGCUACCUUUAAAACGAGAGGCUUAGUUCACAGCAGUGGUGUAUGAUAAAAUUGACCCUAUGUUCGCGGCACCGGUAGAAAAAUCGCUAAGAACCCAACUGACAAGAAGGUCAUUUACGGUAGCAACCCUCGAUGCAAUGUUUAACCAAACUCCUGUCCGUUUAAGACCACCGUAGACUUUAGUACCAAGACUAACCGUAAUAGUACUCGAAGGCAAUGUGUGGAGUGAUGAGGUAAGGUGUCAUGCAGAGAAGCCGAGAGUAGUGUAAGCAUAAGCGUCUCCACGAACUUCCUCAUUUGGACAGGGACGAAAGCGCCCAGUACAGCAGCUCCGACAGUGCUCCCUGGAUGUUACCGCCGGAGGAGAGUUGCCUCCGGCCCUGCGACCGGGCACACCAGCGCCUGCGCUGCUAGUGGCGCCGCCCGAUGGAUCCGUGCCUGUACGAGGAGUUGCAGUGGGACGACGGCGGAGACCACUAGUGGUAGGAGAGGUAGCAGCGCUGCAAGACGUGUAUGUUGUGGGAGAUGACUCCGACUGGUCAUGUCAUCUCCCACUUUUACAUGUCCGUCACUUUUACCAAGGGCGGGUGUAACCCGAACCCUACAAGUUUAUCACCGCUAUAAACAAACAUCUGAAGUAGUUGAAGUUAUUUGACACAUUUACAACGAGACAACGUGCAGGUACAUUCUUUUUCCGCAGCAUCACGUCAGCAUGUACGUAGUUUGUCUACAUUUAAUUCAAAAAAAAAAUUAAACAUAGGGACUUGAACGCUUAAGUCUACGUAAAUCACACACAACCUUUACGUCGUACCUAUACUAAAGACCGCGUGUGACUG